RNAcentral lists this ribosomal RNA (774 nucleotides) under uncultured Neocallimastigales. RNAcentral describes it as "partial large subunit ribosomal RNA". It matches the Rfam family "Eukaryotic large subunit ribosomal RNA", at positions 24 to 644 of the family's 3401-position model. Lineage: Eukaryota; Fungi; Neocallimastigomycota; Neocallimastigomycetes; Neocallimastigales. The record is from RNAcentral.
UAUGUGAUCGUCUCUCGCAUAUCAAUAAGCGGAGGAAAAGAAACUAACAAGGAUUCCCCUAGUAACGGCGAGUGAAGCGGGAAGAGCUCAAAUUUGAAAUCUUAAAGGGUUUCCCUUUACGAAUUGUAGUUUAAAGAAGUGUUUUCUGUUGAAGUUUUGGUAAAAGUUCUUUGGAAUAGGACAUCAUAGAGGGUGAGAAUCCCGUAUUUGACCUUUACUUUCAACUUUGUGAUACACUUUCAAAGAGUCGGAUUGUUUGGGAAUGCAGUCCAAAAUGGGUGGUAAAUUUCAUCUAAAGCUAAAUAUUGGCGAGAGACCGAUAGCGAACAAGUACCGUGAGGGAAAGAUGAAAAGAACUUUGAAAAGAGAGUUAAACAGUACGUGAAAUUGUCAAAAGGGAAGCGUUUGACACCAGUGUCGUUUUUCUGAAAAUCAAUUAAAGAACUGUUUAUGCUAAGUUGUUUAGACUUUAUCAGCUAUCUGUUUAGUUUUGAGCUUUUCUUUAAUGCACUUUUCAGUUAACAAGUCGACAUCAAUUUCUUUUGCUGUAAAAAAGCUUGAGGAAGGUGGCUUGAGAUUCGUCUUAAGUGUUUAUAGCCUCUUGCCUAUGCAGUCGGAGAGAUUGAGGUCUGCAGCGUAGAUCCUUCGGGGCUAAAUGCAUUUGUGCUAAGUUAUAGCAUUUCAUAGACAACUUGUUGACUAUGAUUUGUCUUGUAGCUUACUCGCUUAUGUUAUUUUACCUACGCUUAGGAUGUUGACUGAUAUGUAGUCGUA